GGCUAACGCUGGCGGCGUGUCUUAGCCAUGCAAGUCGAGCGGACUUAUGGGGUAACUUAUAAGUCAGCGGCGGACGGCGGAGUAACACGUAGCUAACCUACCCUCUGGACGGGGGAUAACCUACCGAAAGGUGGGCUAAUACCCGAUGUAGUCAUCCUGUAUAGGGGUGAUGAAAGGUGGGCUUCUGUUUACAAGCUCAUGCUGGAGGAGGGGGCUGCGGCCUAUCAGGUAGUUGGUAGGGUAAUAGCCUACCAAGCCGAUGACGGGUAGCCGGCCUGAGAGGGUGACCGGCCCGAGGGGCACUGAGAGACGGGCCCUACUCCUACGGGAGGCAGCAGUGGGGAAUAUUGCGCAAUGGGCGAAAGCCUGACGCAGCGACGCCGCGUGAAGGAAGACGGCCUUCGGGUUGUAAACUUCUUUUAUCUAGGGAAGAAGGAUGUGACGGUACCUGAUGAAUAAGCCCCGGCUAACUACGUGCCAGCAGCCGCGGUAAAAUAGACGUACU
RNAcentral lists this ribosomal RNA (505 nucleotides) under uncultured bacterium. Its description in RNAcentral is "bacterial SSU rRNA". It matches the Rfam family "Bacterial small subunit ribosomal RNA", at positions 28 to 536 of the family's 1533-position model. The record is from RNAcentral.